GCAUAUCCAAUAAGCGGAGGAAAAGAAACUAACAAGGAUUCCCCCUAGUAGCGGCGAAGCGAAGCGGGAAAAGCUUCAAAUUUGUAAUCUGGCGUCUUCGACGUCCGAGUUGUAAUCUCGAGAAGUGUUUUCCGUGAUAGACCGCAUACAAGUCUCUUGGAACAGAGCGUCAUAGUGGUGAGAACCCAGUACACGAUGCGGAUGCCUAUUACUUUGUGAUACACUUUCGAAGAGUCGAGUUGUUUGGGAAUGCAGCUCAAAUUGGGUGGUAAAUUCCAUCUAAAGCUAAAUAUUGGCGAGAGACCGAUAGCGAACAAGUACCGUGAGGGAAAGAUGAAAAGCACUUUGGAAAGAGAGUUAACAGUACGUGAAAUUGUUGGAAGGGAAACACAUGCAGUGAUACUUGCUAUUCGGGGCAACUCGAUUGGCAGGCCCGCAUCAGUUUUUCGGGGCGGAAAAGCAUGGAUUGAAGGUAGCAGUUUCGGCUGUGUUAUAGCUUUCCAUUGGAUUCGCCCUGGGGGACUGAGGAACGCAGCGUGCUUUUAGCAUGAGCUUCGGCUUAUCCACGCUUAGGAUGCGGGUUUAUGGCUGUAUAUGACCCGUCUUGAAACACGGACCAAGGAGUCUAACAUGCUUGCGAGUAUUUGGGUGUCAAACCCGGAUGCGCAAUGAAAGUGAAUGGAGGUGGGAAGCGCAAGCUGCACCAUCGACCGAUCUGGAUUUUUUAAGAUGGAUUUGAGUAAGAGCAAGUAUGUUGGGACCCGAAAGAUGGUGAACUAUGCCUGAAUAGGGCGAAGCCAGAGGAAAACUCUGGUGGAGGCUCGUAGCGGUUUCUGACGUGCAAAUCGAUUCGUCAAAUUUGGGUAUAGGGGGCGAAAGACUAAUCGAACCAUCUAGUAGCUGGUUCCUGCCGA
This 914-nucleotide ribosomal RNA is filed under the name Sporobolomyces phaffii. RNAcentral describes it as "LSU rRNA". It matches the Rfam family "Eukaryotic large subunit ribosomal RNA", at positions 38 to 964 of the family's 3401-position model. The record is from RNAcentral. Lineage: Eukaryota; Fungi; Basidiomycota; Microbotryomycetes; Sporidiobolales; Sporidiobolaceae.